RNAcentral lists this ribosomal RNA (1702 nucleotides) under Marteilioides chungmuensis. Its description in RNAcentral is "partial 18S ribosomal RNA". It matches the Rfam family "Eukaryotic small subunit ribosomal RNA". Lineage: Eukaryota; Endomyxa; Ascetosporea; Paramyxida; Marteiliidae. The record is from RNAcentral.
UUCCUGUGAACUAGCGUUCUGGACUAAGCCAUGCGAGUGUAAGCUCAAGACCUGUACCAGGUCGAAGCCGCAGACGGCUCCGUACAAGAUAGUUAAUCCAAGGCUCGAUCCAAUUGCGGAUAUCUCUGGGAAACUAGAGCCAUUACGUGCAAACUAAUGCCAGGUUCUCCUGGUGCAGUUAUCGGUCUGGAACGUGCCGGCUUGCCGGUGUUCAGGUGACUCUGGAUAACCUCGCUUACCGCGAGUCCAACUCGACGGUGUGAGCCACGAAGCUAUCACCCAUCAAUUAGGCGGUACGGUAGUGGCGUACCGCGAUCGUCACGGGUACGGGGAAUCAGGGUUCGAUUCCGGAGAGCAUGCCUGAGAGAAGGCAGACGUUGCUACGGCAUACAGCAGGCGCGCAAAUUUGUCAAUGUUCGGAUGAAUGAACGAGCAAGAACGUAUGGAAGGACGAGACAGUACUGUCUUCGUCACAUCCAUGAGGGCAGCCCUCACAGCUGCCCGAUAACCACUGGAGGGCAAGUCUGGUGCCAGCAGCCGCGGUAAUUCCAGCUCCGGGAGUUCACGGGAUUAUUGCUGAGACUAAAACGUCUGUAGUCGGAACCAACGGCAGCGCGUGCGAUCGGACCCACCGGGCGAGGUCGCCGCAGUGCCACGACCGUCCGUUCGCCUCGGCGUGCGUCGGUCCACGUCCGUGACCCAAACCAAGUGAUCAAGGCGAGCUCGUGCUCGAUGGUUUUGCAUGGAAUCGUAGAACGAAACCUGCGCUCGGCGUUCCAAGAGCGCAGGUGAUGAUCAACGGGAGCGGUCGGAGACGAGUGAACUGCAGGGCGAGGGGUAAAAUCUGAUGAUCCUUGCAAGACAGCCGAAAGCGAAGGCACUCGUCUAGAGCGUUUCCGUCGAUAAAGGACGGAAGCCACCGUAGUCAACAGGAUUAGAUACCCCGGUAGCGGUGUGCCCCAAACUAUGCCGACCGGCCCGACGCCGCGUUUACGCAUGUGACCGGUGUUGGGUCCGAGGAAGCUGGAGUGAUUUGGCUUCUGGGAGAUUACGGCUGCAAAGCUGAAACUUAAAGGAAUUGACGGAAGGGCACCAUCAGGUCUGGAUUAUGCGGCUCAAUUGGAUUCAACGCCCGACACCCCACCAGGACAGGAGCGCCCGAUGAAGCACCGGCCGAAUACCUCUGCCGAUGGGCGUGCGGGUGGUGCAUGGCCGCCGUAGUUCGUGAGGCGACUUGUCUGGUUAAUUCCGACAACGAACGUAACCGCACUGCCCGAACUAUGGUGCGCGCCCGCGGGUGCGUCGCCAAACUCGGGCAGACAAAUCCGCAACGAGUCUCGUCUCGGAGCAGAAGGAAGCUACGGCGAUGGCAGGUCUGUGAUGCCCCUAGACGCCCUGGAUCGCACGCGUAAUACAAUGCCGGCCCAAGCGCGCAAGUUCGCCCGAGAGGGUCUACAAAUCGCACGAAAAGCCGGCCCAGUCGGGAUCGAGGAUUGCAACUUUCCUCGUGAACGCGGAACACCUCGUAGUGGCGCGUCAUUAACGCGCCACGAAUGAGUCCCUGUCCUUUGUACACACCGCCCGUCGCUACAGCCAAUUACGUGUCGUCGUCAAGAGGCCGGACGGUUCGCCUUCGGGUGGAUAAUCGGAAGGUCCCUGAACGUCGGUACGAGGAGGGUGUAAAAGUCGUAACAAGGUAUUU